GAUAUUUGAGAAGAGCUGCUCCUAGUACGAGAGGACCGGAGUGGACAUACCUCUGGUGUUCCGGUUGUUAUGCCAAUAGCAUUGCCGGGUAGCUACGUAUGGAAAGGAUAACCGCUGAAAGCAUCUAAGCGGGAAGCCUCCUUCAAGAUUAGAUAUCCCUGAAACCUUUGAGUUUCCUUAAGGUCCGUCGAAGACUACGACAUUGAUAGGCUGGGUGUGUAAGCGCUGUAAGGCGUUGAGCUAACCAGUACUAAUUGACCGUGAGGCUUGAUCAUAUAACGCUCAAGUAGUU
This 292-nucleotide ribosomal RNA is filed under the name Legionellales bacterium. RNAcentral describes it as "partial 23S ribosomal RNA". It matches the Rfam family "Bacterial large subunit ribosomal RNA", at positions 2657 to 2925 of the family's 2925-position model. Lineage: Bacteria; Pseudomonadati; Pseudomonadota; Gammaproteobacteria; Legionellales. The record is from RNAcentral.